CUACGGGAUGCACCAGUGAGGAAUAUUGCGCAAUGGGGGAAACCCUGACGCAGCGACGCCGCGUGGAUGAUGAAGGCCUUCGGGUCGUAAAAUCCUGUCAGAAGGAAAGAAGUGUAUGGUAGCUAAUAUCUGCCAUACUUGACGGUACCUUCAAAGGAAGCACCGGCUAACUCCGUGCGCAGCAGCCGCGGUAAUACGGAGGGUGCAAGCGUUGUUCGGAAUUACUGGGCGUAAAGCGCGCGUAGGCGGUUUUAUAAGUCAGAUGUGAAAGUCCACGGCUCAACCAUGGAAGUGCAUUUGAAACUGUAAGACUUGAGUAUUGGAGGGGGUAGUGGAAUUCCCGGUGUAGAGGUGAGAUUCGUAGAUAUCGGGAGGAGUACCGGUGGCGAAGGCGACUAUCUGGCCAAAUACUGACGCUGAGGUGCGAAAGCGUGGGGAGCAAACAGGAUUAGAUACCCGCGUAGUC
This 466-nucleotide ribosomal RNA is filed under the name uncultured bacterium. RNAcentral describes it as "partial 16S ribosomal RNA". It matches the Rfam family "Bacterial small subunit ribosomal RNA", at positions 339 to 795 of the family's 1533-position model. The record is from RNAcentral.